CGGGCAGGUGGUUCGUUAAGUCGUUUGUGAAAAUCCGGGGCUCAACCCCGCGAAAUGCAGACGAUACUGGCGAGCUAGAGAUCGGUAGAGGCUAGCGGAAUUCCUGGUGUAGCGGUGGAAUGCGUAGAUAUCAGGAAGAACACCCGUGGCGAAGGCGGCUAGCUGGGCCGAGUCUGACACUCAUCCGCGAAAGCGUGGGGAGCAAACAGGAUUAGAUACCCUGGUAGUCC
RNAcentral lists this ribosomal RNA (230 nucleotides) under uncultured bacterium. RNAcentral's name for it is "partial 16S ribosomal RNA". It matches the Rfam family "Bacterial small subunit ribosomal RNA", at positions 568 to 796 of the family's 1533-position model. The record is from RNAcentral.